This is a long non-coding RNA of Cyprinus carpio (common carp), 359 nucleotides long. NCBI's taxonomy places the organism in Eukaryota, Metazoa, Chordata, Actinopteri, Cypriniformes, Cyprinidae. The record is from Ensembl.
CUCUUCCAGUCAGACGGGGAGUGUGGGGAAAUGAGAAAUUAUUGUAGAGUGCUGCAGGUGUAGCAGUGUCUUUUCUUUCUGACUGCAACAGCUGUGUUUUGUUUCUAAUGGCUGUACUGUUAGUCAUGUUUGGUCUCAUUAUAAGGAGGAGGAAACAGUUUACAUCAAAGAAGCAGCCCACAGAAAAGACAUCUGCAGUCUCUGUCACAGAGGAGAUCUAUGAGAACCUGAGAAAAUCACCAGAGUCUGAGGAAAACCUUACCACAAAUGUGAUAUAUGUAGAUUUAAGGCUUCUUUCCUCAACCUCAGACAGGUAAUGAUAAAAAUAAAUAAAUAAAUAAAUAAAUAAAUAAAUGUCA